RNAcentral lists this small RNA (158 nucleotides) under Geodermatophilus obscurus. RNAcentral describes it as "c-di-AMP sequence". It matches the Rfam family "c-di-AMP riboswitch aptamer (ydaO/yuaA leader)". Rfam says of the family: This family represents a conserved RNA structure found upstream of the ydaO and yuaA genes in Bacillus subtilis and related genes in other bacteria. The ydaO/yuaA element is thought to act as a genetic "off" switch for the ydaO and yuaA genes in its native state. Lineage: Bacteria; Bacillati; Actinomycetota; Actinomycetes; Geodermatophilales; Geodermatophilaceae. RNAcentral also lists the same sequence under 1 other name. The record is from RNAcentral.
CGCCGGAUGCCGCCGAGUCGCACCCACUCCGUGGGCGCGAGCCGGGGACCCACCUGCACCACCGGGGUGAGUCCCGCCCCCGGACACCUCCGGGGGCGGGUAGGGCACUCCCAGCCCGAACCCGUCAGCUCACCUGGUAGGCGGCCCGGGGAGAACGG